GGGCUUCGGCUCUCACCGGAGGAUGAGCUCGCGUCCCAUUAGCUAGUUGGCGGGGUAACGGCCCACCAAGGCUCAGAUGGGUAACUGGUCUGAGAGGAUGAUCAGUCACACUGGAACUGAGACACGGUCCAGACUCCUACGGGAGGCAGCAGUGGGGAAUAUUGCGCAAUGGACGAAAGUCUGACGCAGCAACGCCGCGUGGGUGAUGAAGGCCCUUGGGUCGUAAAGCCCUGUCAGGAGGGAAGAAUGAGCAGGUGGUUAAUACCCAUCUGAAGUGACGGUACCUCCAAAGGAAGCACCGGCUAACUCCGUG
RNAcentral lists this ribosomal RNA (313 nucleotides) under uncultured bacterium. RNAcentral's name for it is "bacterial SSU rRNA". It matches the Rfam family "Bacterial small subunit ribosomal RNA", at positions 202 to 507 of the family's 1533-position model. The record is from RNAcentral.